RNAcentral lists this ribosomal RNA (1211 nucleotides) under Salmonella enterica. RNAcentral describes it as "partial 23S ribosomal RNA". It matches the Rfam family "Bacterial large subunit ribosomal RNA", at positions 1213 to 2405 of the family's 2925-position model. Lineage: Bacteria; Pseudomonadati; Pseudomonadota; Gammaproteobacteria; Enterobacterales; Enterobacteriaceae. The record is from RNAcentral. RNAcentral also lists the same sequence under 1 other name.
GCUGAUGCGUUGUUGGGUAGGGGAGCGUUCUGUAAGCCUGCGAAGGUGACCUGUGAGGGUUGCUGGAGGUAUCAGAAGUGCGAAUGCUGACAUAAGUAACGAUAAAGCGGGUGAAAAGCCCGCUCGCCGGAAGACCAAGGGUUCCUGUCCAACGUUAAUCGGGGCAGGGUGAGUCGACCCCUAAGGCGAGGCCGAAAGGCGUAGUCGAUGGGAAACGGGUUAAUAUUCCCGUACUUGGUGUUACUGCGAAGGGGGGACGGAGAAGGCUAUGUUGGCCGGGCGACGGUUGUCCCGGUUUAAGCGUGUAGGUGUGUGUUCCAGGUAAAUCCGGUUCACUUUAACACUGAGGCGUGAUGACGAGGCACUACGGUGCUGAAGCAACAAAUGCCCUGCUUCCAGGAAAAGCCUCUAAGCAUCAGGUAACAUCAAAUCGUACCCCAAACCGACACAGGUGGUCAGGUAGAGAAUACCAAGGCGCUUGAGAGAACUCGGGUGAAGGAACUAGGCAAAAUGGUGCCGUAACUUCGGGAGAAGGCACGCUGACACGUAGGUGAAGUGAUUUACUCACGGAGCUGAAGUCAGUCGAAGAUACCAGCUGGCUGCAACUGUUUAUUAAAAACACAGCACUGUGCAAACACGAAAGUGGACGUAUACGGUGUGACGCCUGCCCGGUGCCGGAAGGUUAAUUGAUGGGGUCAGCGCAAGCGAAGCUCCUGAUCGAAGCCCCGGUAAACGGCGGCCGUAACUAUAACGGUCCUAAGGUAGCGAAAUUCCUUGUCGGGUAAGUUCCGACCUGCACGAAUGGCGUAAUGAUGGCCAGGCUGUCUCCACCCGAGACUCAGUGAAAUUGAACUCGCUGUGAAGAUGCAGUGUACCCGCGGCAAGACGGAAAGACCCCGUGAACCUUUACUAUAGCUUGACACUGAACAUUGAGCCUUGAUGUGUAGGAUAGGUGGGAGGCUUUGAAGUGUGGACGCCAGUCUGCAUGGAGCCGACCUUGAAAUACCACCCUUUAAUGUUUGAUGUUCUAACGUGGACCCGUAAUCCGGGUUGCGGACAGUGUCUGGUGGGUAGUUUGACUGGGGCGGUCUCCUCCUAAAGAGUAACGGAGGAGCACGAAGGUUGGCUAAUCCUGGUCGGACAUCAGGAGGUUAGUGCAAUGGCAUAAGCCAGCUUGACUGCGAGCGUGACGGCGCGAGCAGGUGCGAAAG